AAACGGGAGAGACCCGAAAGGUCGAAAGGGGGAGACUCAAUCUUGUCCGCGCGUCCGGUGCCGUUUUCGGUCCCAAGGAUGUCGCCGGCCGCCGGCCGCGUCGCAAGGCGCGAGCCGGGACGGAGUCGGUGUCACCGGGGCUGGAGGUCCGGCCGCGGCGAGGUGCACUUCUCCCCCCGAGUAGGACGUCGCGACCCGUUGGACUGAGUCCGGCCUAAGGCCCGGGAUGAGACCGAGGGAACCGCCGCACAACAGUGCGGACCAACGGUUCCCCGGACCCUGGAUGUCCUGGCCGGAGUCCGACGGCAAACCUCGCGGAGAAGGUCCGCUCCCUCGCAGAGUGAGCGUCCGGCCCGGCGGUCAAGCUCGACGCAGGUGCAAGUGGUGCCGUGGCUUCCGCCACGUCCCCGGCCCUCGUCGGCUGCUGGUCCCCGGAGUUCUCGGACUGUGGCCGACUCCCGUCAGCGGCGCUUCUGCUUCGGGUGCUUUCCCGACCC
RNAcentral lists this ribosomal RNA (497 nucleotides) under Eustegasta aff. carabidina MNHN BL125. RNAcentral's name for it is "eukaryotic LSU rRNA". Lineage: Eukaryota; Metazoa; Arthropoda; Insecta; Blattodea; Blaberidae. The record is from RNAcentral.